GACAGAGGGUGCAAGCGUUGUUCGGAAUCAUUGGGCGUAAAGCGCACGUAGGCGGUUUUGUAAGUCAGAUGUGAAAGCCCAGGGCUUAACCCUGGAAGUGCAUCUGAUACUGCAUGACUUGAGUCCCGGAGAGGGUGGUGGAAUUCCUGGUGUAGAGGUGAAAUUCGUAGAUAUCAGGAGGAACACCGGUGGCGAAGGCGACCACCUGGACGGGUACUGACGCUGAGGUGCGAAAGCGUGGGGAGCAAACAGG
RNAcentral lists this ribosomal RNA (253 nucleotides) under uncultured bacterium. Its description in RNAcentral is "partial 16S ribosomal RNA". It matches the Rfam family "Bacterial small subunit ribosomal RNA", at positions 524 to 776 of the family's 1533-position model. The record is from RNAcentral.